RNAcentral lists this ribosomal RNA (274 nucleotides) under uncultured bacterium. RNAcentral's name for it is "partial 16S ribosomal RNA". It matches the Rfam family "Bacterial small subunit ribosomal RNA", at positions 523 to 796 of the family's 1533-position model. The record is from RNAcentral.
AUACGGAGGGUGCAAGCGUUAUGCGGAAUCACUGGGCGUAAAGGACGCGUAGGCGGGUUGGCAAGUCAGAUGUGAAAUCCUACAGCUUGACUGUAGAACUGCAUUUGAAACUGCUAACCUAGAGUAUGGGAGGGGGAGAUGGAAUUAGUGGUGUAGGGGUAAAAUCCGUAGAUAUCACUAGGAAUACCGAAAGCGAAGGCGAUCUCCUGGAACAUAACUGACGCUAAGGCGUGAAAGCGUGGGGAGCAAACAGGAUUAGAUACCCUAGUAGUCC